AACGAACGCUGGCGGCAUGCCUAACACAUGCAAGUCGAACGAGACCUUCGGGUCUAGUGGCGCACGGGUGCGUAACGCGUGGGAAUCUGCCCUUGGGUUCGGAAUAACAGCGAGAAAUUGCUGCUAAUACCGGAUGAUGACGUAAGUCCAAAGAUUUAUCGCCCAAGGAUGAGCCCGCGUAGGAUUAGCUAGUUGGUGAGGUAAAGGCUCACCAAGGCGACGAUCCUUAGCUGGUCAGAGAGGAUGAUCAGCCACACUGGGACUGAGACACGGCCCAGACUCCUACGGGAGGCAGCAGUGGGGAAUAUUGGACAAUGGGCGGAAGCCUGAUCCAGCAAUGCCGCGUGAGUGAUGAAGGCCUUAGGGUUGUAAAGCUCUUUUACCCGGGAUGAUAAUGACAGUACCGGAGAAUAAGCCCCGGCUAACUCCGUGCCAGCAGCCGCGGUAAU
Molecule: ribosomal RNA, 449 nt
Filed under: uncultured bacterium
Lineage: Bacteria
Description: bacterial SSU rRNA
Rfam family: Bacterial small subunit ribosomal RNA
Source: RNAcentral